UGCGUAGGCGGGCUAAUAAGUCAGUGGUGAAAUCUCUCGGCUCAACCGGGAAACUGCCAUUAAUACUGUUAGUCUUGAGUUCGGUUGAGGUAGGCGGAAUGUGUAAUGUAGCGGUGAAAUGCUUAGAUAUUACACAGAACACCAAUUGCGUAGGCAGCUUACUAGACCGACACUGACGCUGAGGCACGAAAGCGUGGGGAGCGAACAGGAUUAGAUACCCUGGUAGUC
RNAcentral lists this ribosomal RNA (228 nucleotides) under uncultured bacterium. RNAcentral's name for it is "partial 16S ribosomal RNA". It matches the Rfam family "Bacterial small subunit ribosomal RNA", at positions 568 to 795 of the family's 1533-position model. The record is from RNAcentral.